This 274-nucleotide ribosomal RNA is filed under the name uncultured bacterium. RNAcentral describes it as "partial 16S ribosomal RNA". It matches the Rfam family "Bacterial small subunit ribosomal RNA", at positions 523 to 796 of the family's 1533-position model. The record is from RNAcentral.
AUACGUAGGGUGCAAGCGUUAAUCGGAAUUACUGGGCGUAAAGCGUGCGCAGGCGGUCUUGUAAGACAGGUGUGAAAUCCCCGGGCUUAACCUGGGAACUGCACUUGUGACUGCAAGGCUGGAGUACGGCAGAGGGGGAUGGAAUUCCGCGUGUAGCAGUGAAAUGCGUAGAUAUGCGGAGGAACACCGAUGGCGAAGGCAAUCCCCUGGGCCUGUACUGACGCUCAUGCACGAAAGCGUGGGGAGCAAACAGGAUUAGAUACCCUAGUAGUCC